Long non-coding RNA from Mauremys mutica (yellowpond turtle), 362 nucleotides. RefSeq lists it as uncharacterized. The transcript is spliced from 4 exons. NCBI's taxonomy places the organism in Eukaryota, Metazoa, Chordata, Testudines, Geoemydidae. The record is from RefSeq and is a predicted model, not a curated record.
UGUCUACUGACAGUGGCCAAUGCCAAGUGUCCCAGAGGGAGGUGAACCUAACAGAAGUUUGCUAAGUGGCUUUACAGAGGACUUUGCAAUAAGGAAGCAUAUUGUCAUGCUUACUGUUAUAUCAGGACGUGCCACUCGAUGGAGUACAUUUUGAAGAAAAUAUUGAAUAUAAAUACCGGUUUGGCUGAAAAGGGACGUUGCUCAGCGGCUUGUGACUGCAUGGCGAAGAUUGAUAUUGAACGGGGACAGCUUACAGAACGCCUUAUAGGACCUGUGGAUGAUGUGGAGGAAGAGCUGCACAGGAGCAAUGAGAGCCUGGUCCUGCCCAUCUUCUCAGAGUAGCAGCACAAGGGAGGAAGAAC